Molecule: long non-coding RNA, 236 nt
Organism: Cygnus olor (mute swan)
Lineage: Eukaryota; Metazoa; Chordata; Aves; Anseriformes; Anatidae
Exons: 3
Source: RefSeq, a predicted model, not a curated record
GUUUCAGAUCAGCCUCCAGCUCAGCUCGAAGGUCGGGCUUGGACAUCUCGUAGCCCAUGGAAUCAUAGCCUGAGGAGCAUAUUGCAGGGCCAGUGCAGUAACACAACAGCACCCUGUUCUGGAGGAGAUCAAGGCUCGGGGUGCUCAGGAUUUGCCAGUAACGAGCUGCCAGAGACACCGCGGAAUGGCAAUUGCAGCUCCUCUGGUUUGCGGGAAGCCAAUUUCUCAAGUUCCUG